GACGAACGCUGGCGGCGUGCCUAAUACAUGCAAGUUGAGCGCUGAAGGUUGGUACUUGUACCGACUGGAUGAGCAGCGAACGGGUGAGUAACGCGUGGGGAAUCUGCCUUUGAGCGGGGGACAACAUUUGGAAACGAAUGCUAAUACCGCAUAAAAACUUUAAACACAAGUUUUAAGUUUGAAAGAUGCAAUUGCAUCACUCAAAGAUGAUCCCGCGUUGUAUUAGCUAGUUGGUGAGGUAAAGGCUCACCAAGGCGAUGAUACAUAGCCGACCUGAGAGGGUGAUCGGCCACAUUGGGACUGAGACACGGCCCAAACUCCUACGGGAGGGAGCAGUAGGGAAUCUUCGGCAAUGGACGAAAGUCUGACCGAGCAACGCCGCGUGAGUGAAGAAGGGUUUCGGAUCGUAAAACUCUGUUGGUAGAGAAGAACGUUGGUGAGAGUGGAAAGCUCAUCAAGUGACGGUAACUACCCAGAAAGGGACGGCUAACUACGUG
This 497-nucleotide ribosomal RNA is filed under the name uncultured bacterium. RNAcentral's name for it is "partial 16S ribosomal RNA". It matches the Rfam family "Bacterial small subunit ribosomal RNA", at positions 28 to 507 of the family's 1533-position model. The record is from RNAcentral.